Podarcis lilfordi (Lilford's wall lizard) is the source of this 79-nucleotide non-coding RNA. The record is from the annotation of a GenBank genome assembly. Lineage: Eukaryota; Metazoa; Chordata; Lepidosauria; Squamata; Lacertidae.
CAUGCUAUGGAUAGCUCAGUUGGUUAGAGCUUGGUGCUGAUAGUGCCAAGGCUGCAGGUUCGAUCCCUGUAUGGCUUGG